Molecule: long non-coding RNA, 691 nt
Organism: Gallus gallus (chicken)
Lineage: Eukaryota; Metazoa; Chordata; Aves; Galliformes; Phasianidae
Exons: 3
Source: RefSeq, a predicted model, not a curated record
GUUCUAUAAAAAACACUCAGCUCAGUAGAAGCAAAGCUACCUACUUAUCAGCAAGAAAGAAGUAAAAACCAGCCAAGACUUGCAGGUCAUUAAGGCCUACUAUUACCCUCAGAGGCCUGACACUAAUACUGCUCCGCUGAAUCUGAAGAAAUGGGUCAGGAAUCCUUUCCUGGUUUGUAUUCGGCUCAUUAUCAUGCAGAAGGAAAAAACAAGUGCAAAACAGGUAGACAUUGACAUGCAUAAUCUUUGAUGCAGUACUUCUGGGACAUCAGUACCAUAGGAUGCUUGGACAGAACACCUGAGAUCAUCCUCUAAGGAUACGCCUAGGCACGUCCCAUCACUGCAGUUCAGCACCGGGCACACCAGGGCAGAAAAGCAGUCCUUUCAACACUUUAUCACAGAAGGUGAUGAGGAGCACUCUUUGUCAGCGCUGACAGUAUCAUAAUAACCAAGAACACAUAGACAUUUGCUUACUGUAUUCCACUGCAUGUAUACGCAUAGCAGCCUACAAGACAAACUGGAACCUGUGCAAACUCCAGCAGGCACCUGUGGAUGUGAGGCUCGCAGUGCCUUUAGUCAUGAAGUACAGAAGUGCUCCCUUAAUGAGCAAGUAAAUAAACCCAGGGCCAGAGUAAAUUAACAGACUGUGUAAGAAACAGAUGGUGUACGGUGACUGAAAAAUUUCUAAAUG